This 482-nucleotide ribosomal RNA is filed under the name uncultured Mycobacterium sp. Its description in RNAcentral is "partial 16S ribosomal RNA". Lineage: Bacteria; Bacillati; Actinomycetota; Actinomycetes; Mycobacteriales; Mycobacteriaceae. The record is from RNAcentral.
CACGUAGUUGGCCGGUGCUUCUUCUAUAGGUACCGUCACUUGCGCUUCGUCCCUAUUGAAAGAGGUUUACAACCCCGAAGGCCGUCAUCCCUCACGCGGCGUCGCUGCAUCAGGCUUGCGCCCAUUGUGCAAUAUUCCCCACUGCUGCCUCCCGUAGGAGUCUGGGCCGUAUCUCAGUCCCAGUGUGGCCGGUCACCCUCUCAGGCCGGCUACCCGUCGUCGCCUUGGUAGGCCAUUACCCCACCAACAAGCUGAUAGGCCGCGGGCCCAUCCCACACCGCAAAAGCUUUCCACCACACACCAUGAAGCGCGUGGUCCUAUUCGGUAUUAGACCCAGUUUCCCAGGCUUAUCCCAAAGUGCAGGGCAGAUCACCCACGUGUUACUCACCCGUUCGCCACUCGAGUACCCCGAAGGGCCUUUCCGUUCGACUUGCAUGUGUUAAGCACGCCGCCAGCGUCGUCCUGAGCACGGAGUCAACUAC